CUUAACCCUAACCACCGCCAAUGUUUCCCUUCUCUAACCAAACCUAGCAGCAGUAGAAAAGAAAGAAAGAAACACUGAGGGUAGAGAGGGGAGAACGGGAGAGCAGAGGAAGAGGGGAAAAAGGGGCACCAUAUGCAGUCAUCACCGCCGUGCCGCGUCGCUGCUCUACCGCCGUUAGAGCUUCUAUCGCUGUCAGAACUACACGUCGUCGCUGGAAGCAUCUUCAUCACCAUCGUUCUAUGGAGCCGAGCCCACGUCGCUGUCGCAAAUGAAGAGGAGGCCGCGUCAGCUCGCCGCCAAGCCGUUACCGUCGAGGUUCCGCACCAGCACCAUUGUUGCUGAGUUGGUCCGCGCUAGCACCGUCAUCGCCGAGUUGCUUCGUCUUCCAGCCUCCAUCGUCGUCGUCGCUAGGUUGCCCGAAGAAGGGGAUCGGGAAGAGAGAGGGAGUUUGCAUCCGUUGCUGCUAUUGGAGGGCAGGACCGUCACAGAGAAGGGUUGAGUCGUCGCUGUCGUGCCUCAACCGCCGUCUAUUUGCUGCUGCUAUUGUUGUUGGAGGUCGUCAUCGUCGUUAAAAAAGGGGAAAACAAGCGAGUGACGCCAAAGAAGGGGUUUCCAUCGCUGCCGGUCCCUGUUGGAUUCCACCGUGGAGAAGAGAACGACGCGAGGGAGAGAGGGAGACAGAGUCGUGCGAGCCAGAGGAGCCACCGUCCUUGCCGUUGCCGCCACGGUCGACGGUGAGUCAUGCACCACCAUCAGAGUCGAAGAUAGCACCAACCUUCUUCUUCUGGUUUCGAUUUCCCUAUUCUUGAACCUGUGAUAGUAUUAAUGGUACUAACGAGCUAUUGCAGUUGCUACCGCUACUGAAAUCAACAAAGAAGGGAUCAUCGCGUUUAAAUUCGACGGGUUCGACUAACUGAGGAAAUGGACGAAAAAGCUUAUGAAGAAUAGUUGAGUUUGGCUUAUGCGAUUGAAGAUGGUUUAGUUUAGUUAUUAUUAUUCUUCCCUCGCCAUCAAUAUUAUAACUUUUGUAAGAGGGAUAGGAGUUUUGAUAUGUGGAGUUUAUAUAUUGGUAUGAUGUAUAUGUAUAUAUAUUACUUGUGAGUAUUAUAAAUUGUAUUGAAAAGUAUGGAUGUAUGUUUUGAA
Non-coding RNA from Arachis ipaensis, 1143 nucleotides. The record is from RefSeq and is a predicted model, not a curated record. Lineage: Eukaryota; Viridiplantae; Streptophyta; Magnoliopsida; Fabales; Fabaceae.